This 28-nucleotide small RNA is filed under the name Bombyx mori (domestic silkworm). RNAcentral describes it as "ovarian small RNA-23332". The record is from RNAcentral. Lineage: Eukaryota; Metazoa; Arthropoda; Insecta; Lepidoptera; Bombycidae.
UAUACGGAUGCGAUGACGAUCGGCUAGU